Molecule: ribosomal RNA, 465 nt
Filed under: uncultured Klebsiella sp.
Lineage: Bacteria; Pseudomonadati; Pseudomonadota; Gammaproteobacteria; Enterobacterales; Enterobacteriaceae
Description: bacterial SSU rRNA
Rfam family: Bacterial small subunit ribosomal RNA
Source: RNAcentral
CCUACGGGGGGCUGCAGUGGGGAAUAUUGCACAAUGGGCGCAAGCCUGAUGCAGCCAUGCCGCGUGUGUGAAGAAGGCCUUCGGGUUGUAAAGCACUUUCAGCGGGGAGGAAGGCGGUGAGGUUAAUAACCUCAUCGAUUGACGUUACCCGCAGAAGAAGCACCGGUUAACUCCGUGCCAGCAGCCGCGGUAAUACGGAGGGUGCAAGCGUUAAUCGGAAUUACUGGGCGUAAAGCGCACGCAGGCGGUCUGUCAAGUCGGAUGUGAAAUCCCCGGGCUCAACCUGGGAACUGCAUUCGAAACUGGCAGGCUAGAGUCUUGUAGAGGGGGGUAGAAUUCCAGGUGUAGCGGUGAAAUGCGUAGAGAUCUGGAGGAAUACCGGUGGCGAAGGCGGCCCCCUGGACAAAGACUGACGCUCAGGUGCGAAAGCGUGGGGAGCAAACAGGAUUAGAUACCCGGGUAGUC